CGAGUACUCCCUCCGUCCGAAAAUACUUGUCAUCAAAAUGGAUAAAAAGGGAUGUACAUCUAGUUACAUCCCUUUUUAUUCAUUUUGAUGACAAGUAUUUCCGGACAGAGAGAGUAUGUA
Non-coding RNA from Triticum aestivum (bread wheat), 120 nucleotides. NCBI's taxonomy places the organism in Eukaryota, Viridiplantae, Streptophyta, Magnoliopsida, Poales, Poaceae. The record is from Rfam.